GCUCCGGCCUCACGAAGCGGAAGCUCCCGAACCGUGUCAGGUCAGGAAUGGAGCAGCACUAAAGGAUGCCUUCCGUAUGUCGUGAGUAAACCGGAGCCUC
This 100-nucleotide signal recognition particle RNA is filed under the name Lachnospiraceae bacterium. RNAcentral's name for it is "signal recognition particle sRNA small type". It matches the Rfam family "Bacterial small signal recognition particle RNA". From Rfam's summary of the family: The signal recognition particle (SRP) is a universally conserved ribonucleoprotein involved in the co-translational targeting of proteins to membranes. Archaeal SRP consists of a 7S RNA and homologues of the eukaryotic SRP19 and SRP54 proteins. Lineage: Bacteria; Bacillati; Bacillota; Clostridia; Lachnospirales; Lachnospiraceae. The record is from RNAcentral.